Molecule: ribosomal RNA, 207 nt
Filed under: uncultured bacterium
Lineage: Bacteria
Description: partial 16S ribosomal RNA
Rfam family: Bacterial small subunit ribosomal RNA
Source: RNAcentral
CGUGUAGGCGGCUUGACAAGUCUGGUGUGAAAGCCCGGGGCUCAACCCCGGAAGUGCAUUGGAAACUGUCAGGCUUGAGUACCGGAGAGGAAAGGGGAAUUCCCGGUGUAGCGGUGAAAUGCGUAGAUAUCGGGAGGAAUACCGGUGGCGAAGGCGCCUUUCUGGACGGAUACUGACGCUGAGACGCGAAAGCGUGGGGAGCAAACA